UACGGAGGAUGCAAGCGUUAUCCGGAUUUAUUGGGUUUAAAGGGUGCGCAGGUUGUUUGAUAAGUCAGUGGUGAAAGUCUGUCGCUUAACGGUAGGAUUGCCAUUGAUACUGAGAGUCUUGAGUUUGGAUGAGGUAGGCGGAAUGUGCAGUGUAGCGGUGAAAUGCAUAGAGAUUGCACAGAACACCGAUUGCGAAGGCAGCUUACUGGGAUGCAACUGACGCUGAGGCACGAAAGCGUGGGUAU
Molecule: ribosomal RNA, 245 nt
Filed under: uncultured prokaryote
Description: partial 16S ribosomal RNA
Rfam family: Bacterial small subunit ribosomal RNA
Source: RNAcentral